RNAcentral lists this ribosomal RNA (383 nucleotides) under uncultured eukaryote. RNAcentral's name for it is "partial 18S ribosomal RNA". It matches the Rfam family "Eukaryotic small subunit ribosomal RNA", at positions 592 to 976 of the family's 1831-position model. The record is from RNAcentral.
CAAUAGCGUAUAUUAAAGUUGUUGCGGUUAAAAAGCUCGUAGUUGGAUCUCGGCAGGCAGGGGGUGGUUCGCUCUUAGCGCUACUGCCCCAUUUGCCUGUGUGAUUGGCGGAGGUUUCGGGGUGCUCUUCGUUGAGUGACCCGGGGCGCCGUCAGGUUUACUUUGAAAAAAUUAGAGUGCUCAAAGCAGGCUUUUCACGCUUGAAUAUUCGUGCAUGGAAUAAUGGAAUAGGAACUCGUUUCUAUUCUGUUGGUUUUCGGAAAUCGAGUUAAUGAUUAAUAGGGACAAUUGGGGGCAUUAGUAUUCAGACGACAGAGGUGAAAUUCUUGGACCGUCUGAAGACUAACUACUGCGAAAGCAUUUGCCAAGAGUGUUUUCAUUAA